UACAGAGGUGGCAAGCGUUGUUCGGAAUUACUGGGCGUAAAGGGCGCGUAGGCGGCCAUCUAAGUCAGACGUGAAAUCCCCCGGCUUAACCUGGGAACUGCGUCUGAUACUGGACGGCUGGAGUUUGGGAGAGGGAUGUAGAAUUCCAGGUGUAGCGGUGAAAUGCGUAGAUAUCUGGAGGAAUACCGGUGGCGAAGGCGGCGACCUGGGUAGAUACUGACGCUGAGGUGCGAAAGCGUGGGGAGCAAACAGG
Molecule: ribosomal RNA, 253 nt
Filed under: uncultured bacterium
Lineage: Bacteria
Description: partial 16S ribosomal RNA
Rfam family: Bacterial small subunit ribosomal RNA
Source: RNAcentral